Molecule: ribosomal RNA, 576 nt
Filed under: uncultured bacterium
Lineage: Bacteria
Description: partial 16S ribosomal RNA
Rfam family: Bacterial small subunit ribosomal RNA
Source: RNAcentral
UGGGGAAUUUUGGACAAUGGGCGAAAGCCUGAUCCAGCAAUGCCGCGUGUGUGAAGAAGGCCUUCGGGUUGUAAAGCACUUUUGUCCGGAAAGAAAUCCUUGGCUCUAAUACAGUCGGGGGAUGACGGUACCGGAAGAAUAAGCACCGGCUAACUACGUGCCAGCAGCCGCGGUAAUACGUAGGGUGCAAGCGUUAAUCGGAAUUACUAGGCGUAAAGCGUGCGCAGGCGGUUUGCUAAGACCGAUGUGAAAUCCCCGGGCUCAACCUGGGAACUGCAUUGGUGACUGGCAGGCUAGAGUAUGGCAGAGGGGGGUAGAAUUCCACGUGUAGCAGUGAAAUGCGUAGAGAUGUGGAGGAAUACCGAUGGCGAAGGCAGCCCCCUGGGCCAAAUACUGACGCUCAUGCACGAAAGCGUGGGGAGCAAACAGGAUUAGAUACCCUGGUAGUCCACGCCCUAAACGAUGUCAACUAGUUGUUGGGGAUUCAUUUCCUUAGUAACGUAGCUAACGCGUGAAGUUGACCGCCUGGGGAGUACGGUCGCAAGAUUAAAACUCAAAUGAAUUGACGGGGUCAUA